Molecule: transfer RNA, 72 nt
Organism: Drosophila busckii
Lineage: Eukaryota; Metazoa; Arthropoda; Insecta; Diptera; Drosophilidae
Rfam family: tRNA
About the family: Transfer RNA (tRNA) molecules are approximately 80 nucleotides in length. Their secondary structure includes four short double-helical elements and three loops (D, anti-codon, and T loops).
Source: Rfam
GCGCCGGUGGUGUACUGGCCAGCAUGGUUGUAUCCCAAACAGCAGAUCCGGGUUCGAUUCCCGGCCGGCGCA